Molecule: long non-coding RNA, 123 nt
Organism: Cotesia glomerata
Lineage: Eukaryota; Metazoa; Arthropoda; Insecta; Hymenoptera; Braconidae
Exons: 3
Source: RefSeq, a predicted model, not a curated record
CAGAUGACACAAAAAAUAAUAUAUUGUGCAACAAGUGCGACAACGUCGCACGAGUUGCACAUACUAUUUUGUAUUACAAAUGCGGUGAUAUAUGUGGGUACAAAAUUGGGGUCCAGGGGCGAA